Molecule: ribosomal RNA, 460 nt
Filed under: uncultured bacterium
Lineage: Bacteria
Description: partial 16S ribosomal RNA
Rfam family: Bacterial small subunit ribosomal RNA
Source: RNAcentral
CCUACGGGGUGCAGCAGUGAGGAAUAUUGGUCAAUGGACGAGAGUCUGAACCAGCCAAGUAGCGUGAAGGAUGACUGCCCUAUGGGUUGUAAACUUCUUUUAUAUGGGAAUAAAACGUUCCACGUGUGGGAUUUUGUAUGUAUCAUAUGAAUAAGGAUCGGCUAACUCCGUGCCAGCAGCCGCGGUAAUACGGAGGAUCCGAGCGUUAUCCGGAUUUAUUGGGUUUAAAGGGAGCGUAGGUGGAUUGUUAAGUCAGUUGUGAAAGUUUGCGGCUCAACCGUAAAAUUGCAGUUGAAACUGGCAGUCUUGAGUACAGUAGAGGUGGGCGGAAUUCGUGGUGUAGCGGUGAAAUGCUUAGAUAUCACGAAGAACUCCGAUUGCGAAGGCAGUUCACUGGACUGCAACUGACACUGAGGCUCGAAAGUGUGGGUAUCAAACAGGAUUAGAUACCCCUGUAGUC